AAAACCCAAUCUACAAUGGGAGUCUGAACUGGGGCCACUUGAGGGGGUCUUGUAGAAGAGGAAAACUUGUGGCGCAAUGGGAUGUCCAGGGACACAGAUAGCCAGGUGCUGGGCCUCAGGAUGGAAUCCAGCCACCCCUGCUGGGUGACACACAGUGACCUUCCUCAGGAGAGUGGAAGCUCUGCAGGUGGGGAUAAUAGGACCUACCUAGCUGGGCUGUUAUGAAGGCUAAACGAGGAAACACUUGUAAAGUUCUCAGAACUGUGCCUCGAACAAGCUUUGCAGAUUUGAUAUAGAAAUCCAGGAGAAAAUUCUAUGAGAAGAGCUCUUACCAUAUAAUGAAGACAAGACUUGAGCAAGACUUUGUAAUUUUCUACUAAUCAAAAUUCAAAGUAUGAGUCUUGACAGAAGCCAAACAAAGCCUCCUGCCUGGAACUCUGGAACUCUUCUCUUUUUGUUCUGAAGCCUUGGACCCAUCUUGCCUUUUGCUAUGAGUAAAGUUUACCGCAGAGGCUUGGUAUCUUAGUUUAGAGUUCACAUUUCUGGUUUUCGAUGGCUGUAGAUCAAUCCUAGUGGAAAACUCCACAAAGUGCAGAGAAAGUUGUCCUUGUGAAGUCACCUUGCAGAGGAGGAAAGCGGUCUCUAAAUAAGAAAUCUAUAUUCCAGUCUGACAGCUCGUACGGCGUGGGGUAUGAAUUUCUCCUCUGAAAGUCUGAUGGCCAUCCUUGUUCUUCCUCAGCAGGGCUGCCUGAGUAUCUUUGAGAAAUGCCCAAGGGUCCUCUUGAGGAAGGGGAUCGUCCAUUGGCACCUGGAGCCUUCCAUGGAAACUGGUUGGCUGGCUCUCCAUUUUACGCUAGAGUCAUCUCAGACAUCAGUUAGCUACCAAGGCAAGUCGUUAACAUGCAUGACAAUGAAUCCAGUCUUGGCAAUCAUCGUAAUUAAGUGUGCACACUGUAUCAGGGUGCUGAUUAAGUGGCUUCAAUUUUAUGGGUAUGAUUCCUAAUGAUCGUUCUUUUUACUGAUUAAGAUGCAUUAAGCCUCAGAGGACAUUGGGGAUUCCUAUGCACUUGGAAGGAGGAGACUGAAGCCACACAGUGUCUGGAAAGGAAAACCCUUGAUUAAUCACCAGAGAAGAGGAAAGGAAUUUUCUAAGGUGUUUUCUAAGCUGAGUUCAUCCCAAAGAUGUCAGAGUGCUAGAAAAGAGAUGACUCCAAACAAGUCCAACCUGACUAUGGCAUUUGAGAGUUGAAUGUGGCAUUGGAGCUUGUUUUGUUUUUGUUUUCCUGAAAAAAUUAACCAAGGGAAAUUUCAAAUUUUUCAGCCUGUCUAAAUACGGACAAAUGUCCCAAGAAGCUAAAAGCACCAGUAUAUGCCACCCUUGGUUCCUGUCCUCAUCCCUAUCCCUGCACAGUGUAGCUUUCACGAUUACCAACCAACACCCAUCAUCUCCUCUAACCAUCACCCAUGGGCAUCCUGCAAGACACAUACAAGAAAAUGACACCGCAUUUCACUUACCUGAAAUCAAUAUAGUACGACUGGAAAAAGAAAUAAAGGUUUAUCCCUUUGUCCUUCUCAUGUUUAAAAUACCCAUGGACUCAUACAUGACCCAGAAAAGGGAGCUCACAGCCAAAUUACAGAGAGGAGCAGAAGUUUGUCUUGGGUUUUGAGUUUUCUGAUGAGUUAAUGGAGGUGUGUGGGAUGUAGGGUAUUUUUAACACUUGAGAAGCCCCCAGCUUUGCUUCAUUCUCUGUCUCUCUCUCUCUGUCAUAAUCACCUCUCUUGCUAAAAGAGAAGCUCACCAUCCCAUAAGACACCAUGCCAGAAGCAGGGAUGUCCUCACCCAUCACCACCUCCUCUCUAAUCUCACUGCCCCACUUCCCCUCCAUAACCUGCUCCUCCUCCCCUCCUCUCCCGUCCCCUCCGCUCCGCUCCCUUCCCUUCCCCUUCCCUCUCCUCCCAUCCUCUUCCUCACUGUCUUUCUAGCAUAUCCACUUCUCUAUCCCCAUUGAUGUGACUUUAGCAGGAUCCUCAUUCACAACUUCAGCUAUUGCAUUUUCUCCCAACUGGGCUCCUGCUUCUUUUCUUAUGGGAUCAUAAUCCCUCCUUCAUUCAGCAACCAAGAUGAAUUUUAUGUUGUACAAAUAUGGUUAUAUUCACUCCUUGUUUAAAGUAAAUGCCUCUUAAUUUCCUGGGUAUAAAGCAAAAAUACAUUAGCUUAGCUUAGAAGUCUUCCAUGGUCAGCAUCUCUCUGCCCCCAGCACUCUCUGACUUCCAGCCAUAGAGACAUUCCUGCAAUGUCCCCAUAUACUAUACCUUCUUGUGUCCCCAUGCAUUGGACACAGAUAGGGCUCCCCAUUGCUCUUAGAAUAAAUGUUCAUGUACCUCUACUUUGUGGCACUUAAACUACAGCUGUGCGUUUUUACACUUACCUGUGCAUGUGUUUUGCUUCCUUGACUUUCUGUAGACUCAAGAGGGCCGCAGUCUUGUAUUGGUGGUGUUUGUUGGUUUGAGUCGUUCCUUACUAUGUUAUCCCCAAAAUUAGCACAACAUCUGGCCUAUAGUGGAAGCUCAGUAAGUAAAUGUUUAAGGAAUUAAUAAAUUUUAGCAUCUCUUGAGACUUUUAUUGAGCUUGUAAUGCAUAGUUAUAGCAUAAAUGGUUGACGAAUGAAAUGGCCAAGCCAUCUGGCUAGAUGCCAAGGUAUAGUGGCUUUGGAAUCUGGACCCUGUCUACUCCAUCUUCUUGUAUUCAAUAUUCAUUCUGAUUUUGUGGUAAUGUAGAAACUUCUUCUUGUUCCUUGUUCCACGGAACACCCUACCCCAGGGGAAACUGAGGAAAGGGGGAGAGGAGAUGGCCCCCACACUCCUGCUGCUUCCUCUGCAAUUUUCCUUUUCCCUUCUCAACCCAGCUUUAGCCAGACGUCUGACCUCUGUACCUCAGUGGAUCCAACCACCUACCUGAUUAGAUGAGAUGAGGUGGGACAAGGACACGGAAGCCCAAAUCAGAAGAGAAAUUUCAAGAGCUUUAGAAAUGAGGACUUCAACUGUGCAGACUUGGGACUUUUCUGGCUUGAGAGGUGGUAUGCUCAGCCAUCAUUCACUCUCAAGGCACUGCAGAUGGUUGGCCCAGCAGAGGCAGACAUUACAGCUUCAGGGCUAAGUCCUUAACUCAUAUUUGCCUCUUGUACUUUGUAUUUAGCUUACGUGGAAAAUGGAUUUUGGAAUCAUUUGUUUCCUUCCUUGAAUUUGCAGGCUAAACUAAAAAACUGCAGGUCAUAUUUUGACUGGCUGGGGGAUGGGCUGGUGAGGAUGAGUGGAGGAAAUUUCAGCAGGCAAUUUGGCAGGUGAGCUGUGGCUUCUGGGGAACAUUUGUGCAAGUCUGAGCUUUGUGACAAUCCCUCAUUGCCUUUCGCCCUAAGUUUCUUUAAAUUUAUUUCUGUUGCUCCUUAGAUACACUUUAGAUAUAAAUAAUGUUUGUUCCUUCUCUCUAUAGUUCAAUAUAUCAUGAAUUCUUCCCUGGCUGACUCACCACUCUGAGGUUGACUUCUUAUCUAGUUAUCACAGAUCCACCACCUGCUCCUUUUUCCUACUUAAUUCUUUCCAUCAUUUUUCCUGCAGCUUGUAUCUUGACAUCUGUCUGGCUCAUGCUAGAAACUUCAGUCAUCCUUGGUCUGUGAUUCGUUCCACGUCCUGUCACUCACCCUCUUCCCCAACCAUUCCCAGGCUAUGUCCCUUUUUCUCCAUACUUUUGCUAGAGUCUCAUGAUCACUUACUCCCUUGACAGCAAAAGAUCCUAACUUGACCCUGAGAGUUCUGCAAGCCAGAAAUACCGUCUGUCUCACCUCUGAUAUAUCUCUGGUUUUCAUCCCACUGCUUGGAACAGAGUGACUGCUCCAGGUGUAUAAUUUGACUGAGUUAUAAGUCUUCCUUUUUCUGGGUUCAUACCCUCACUGCUCUGUUCCACAUCGUUAAUGACUCCCCAUCACCUAUAGACUAAAGCCCACACUACCAAACAUGGAUAUACAAGACUUUCAUUCAUUUGGCCAUGGAUUAACUUUACAUUGUAAUAUUAAUUUUCAUCUUCUAUCACUCUUAUACAUAAAUUCUCCAUUCCAAAUACUGAUAAUUUCUUGUUCUUCCCUAAACCGAAGGAGAGAACUGUUACCAGAAAGGAGUCUUGAUCUAGACCCCAAGAGAGGUUUCUUGGA
This 4205-nucleotide long non-coding RNA is filed under the name Homo sapiens (human). Its description in RNAcentral is "HSALNT0400300". Lineage: Eukaryota; Metazoa; Chordata; Mammalia; Primates; Hominidae. The record is from RNAcentral.